AAUGAACGUUGGCGGCGUGGAUUAGGCAUGCAAGUCGAGCGAGAACCCCGCAAGGGGGGACAGCGGCGAAAGGGACAGUAAUGUGUAGAUUAUCUGCCCUCAGGUCCGGGAUAGCUGCGGGGAAACUGCAGGUAAUACCGGAUAACAUCUCCGGAUCAAAGGUGUGAUUCCGCCUGAGGAUGAGUCUGCAUCCUAUUAGCUAGUUGGUGGGGUAAUGGCCUACCAAGGCAUUGAUGGGUAGCAGGUGUGAGAGCACGACCUGCGUCAUUGGGACUGAGACACUGCCCAGACACCUACGGGUGGCUGCAGUCGAGAAUCUUCGGCAAUGGGCGCAAGCCUGACCGAGCGACGCCGCGUGUGGGAUGAAGGCCUUCGGGUUGUAAACCACUGUCAGAGGGGAUGAAAUGCAGGUGGGUUCUCCCAUCUGUUUGACAUAGCCUCAGAGGAAGGACGGGCUAAGUUCGUG
This 466-nucleotide ribosomal RNA is filed under the name uncultured bacterium. Its description in RNAcentral is "partial 16S ribosomal RNA". It matches the Rfam family "Bacterial small subunit ribosomal RNA", at positions 29 to 507 of the family's 1533-position model. The record is from RNAcentral.